Molecule: ribosomal RNA, 687 nt
Filed under: uncultured bacterium
Lineage: Bacteria
Description: bacterial SSU rRNA
Rfam family: Bacterial small subunit ribosomal RNA
Source: RNAcentral
GGGUGAGUAACACGUGACCAACCUGCCUCGCACAUCGGGAUAACUGCCGGAAACGGCAGCUAAUACCGGAUACUAUCCCCCUUCCGCAUGGGAGGAGGAUGAAAGCUUUCGCGGUGCGAGAUGGGGUCGCGGCCCAUCAGGUAGUAGGUGGGGCAGCAGCCCACCUAGCCUACGACGGGUAGCCGGACUGAGAGGUCGAUCGGCCACAUUGGGACUGAGAUACGGCCCAGACUCCUACGGGAGGCAGCAGUGGGGAAUAUUGCGCAAUGGGGGAAACCCUGACGCAGCAACGCCGCGUGCGGGAUGAAGGCCUUCGGGUUGUAAACCGCUUUCAGCAGGGAAGAGACAGACGGUACCUGCAGAAGAAGCCCCGGCUAACUACGUGCCAGCAGCCGCGGUAAUACGUAGGGGGCGAGCGUUAUCCGGAUUCAUUGGGCGUAAAGCGCGCGCAGGCGGACCGUUAAGCGGGACCUCUAAUCCUGGGGCUCAACCUCAGGCCGGGUCCCGAACUGGCGGUCUCGAGUGCGGUAGGGGAGGUCGGAAUUCCCGGUGUAGCGGUGGAAUGCGCAGAUAUCGGGAAGAACACCGAUGGCGAAGGCAGACCUCUGGGCCGACACUGACGCUGAGGCGCGAAAGCUAGGGGAGCGAACAGGAUUAGAUACCCUGGUAGUCCUAGCCGUAAACGAU